This 490-nucleotide ribosomal RNA is filed under the name uncultured bacterium. RNAcentral's name for it is "bacterial SSU rRNA". It matches the Rfam family "Bacterial small subunit ribosomal RNA", at positions 28 to 520 of the family's 1533-position model. The record is from RNAcentral.
GAUGAACGCUGGCGGCGUGCUUAACACAUGCAAGUCGAACGGUGAAGGAGGAGCUUGCUCUUCUGGAUCAGUGGCGAACGGGUGAGUAACACGUGAGCAAUCUGCCCUUGACUCUGGGAUAACAGUUGGAAACAGCUGCUAAUACCGGAUACGAGACGUGACCGCAUGGUCAACGUCUGGAAAGAACUUCGGUCAAGGAUGAGCUCACGGCCUAUCAGCUAGUUGGUGAGGUAAUGGCUCACCAAGGCGACGACGGGUAGCCGGCCUGAGAGGGUGACCGGCCACACUGGGACUGAGACACGGCCCAGACUCCUACGGGAGGCAGCAGUGGGGAAUAUUGCACAAUGGGCGAAAGCCUGACGCAGCGACGCCGCGUGGGGGAUGAAGGUUUCGGAUUGUAAACCCUUUCAUGAGGAAAGAUAAAGUGGGUAACCACUUAGACGGUACCUCAAGAAGAAGCCACGGCUAACUUCGUGCCAGCAGCCGACGG